AAAAAGCUCAACCAAGGUUCAAAACCUUGAAAUUGAUCUUAAGAACAUAAAAAAACUGAGUUCUAGAACCUCCAAAUCGAGGUCUUCAAACAACUUUGCGAAACAGCCCAACAACACACCUGACUACCCAGCCCCGUCACCCAGCUCGGCUACCUAGCCUGGUCUACCACUAACCCAGCCUGACAACACACCUCAGCAACCUACCCCUGCCAACCAGCUCGGCUACCCAGUCCAACCUUCCACUACCCAACUCAACAUCACACCCCAACUACCCAGCCUAGUCACUCAGCUCAACUACCUAGCCCGACCUUCCAUUAACUUAGCCCAACAUCAACCAAGCUCAACUCGACAACUACUCCAACAACCCAAUGAAAUUGUUUAUAAGUCUUAAUGAGUUAAGUUAUUACUCAAUUGUUUAGUGUCGUGAGUCUCUUGAGAAACAAUAUUUGAUCUUACCAUUUAUUAUUACUUGACAUGAUUCGGU
This 484-nucleotide long non-coding RNA is filed under the name Vigna radiata. Its description in RNAcentral is "long non-coding RNA (VRAD_LNC016088)". Lineage: Eukaryota; Viridiplantae; Streptophyta; Magnoliopsida; Fabales; Fabaceae. The record is from RNAcentral.